Molecule: non-coding RNA, 380 nt
Organism: Pelobates cultripes (western spadefoot toad)
Lineage: Eukaryota; Metazoa; Chordata; Amphibia; Anura; Pelobatidae
Source: the annotation of a GenBank genome assembly
CCUGCAUUACCCAAACACACUAAACACAUUAGCCCUUACAUUACCCGAACACACUAAACACAUUAACCCUUACAUUACCCGAACACACUACACUACAUCAGAAGACACUAAAUAAAAAAAUUAACCCCUACAAUACCCAAACACACUAAACACAUUAACCUUUACAUUACCAGAUCACACUGUACUAUCCCUACACAUAACCCCCCACAUUAGCAGGGUUAAUGCUAUUUAAGGGUUCUUUAAAAUGUAACCCUUUAAACCCUUUGAUCUUGUGGUUUAUCAAGAUGCCUCCAGAAGCCCUGGAAGUCAUUAUUCUCCCACAAUACAAGGUUCACUGUUACGUAUAGAUAUACACUAGCUGUAUAGUUGUAGAAUUCAUA